This 371-nucleotide ribosomal RNA is filed under the name uncultured bacterium. Its description in RNAcentral is "bacterial SSU rRNA". It matches the Rfam family "Bacterial small subunit ribosomal RNA", at positions 524 to 898 of the family's 1533-position model. The record is from RNAcentral.
UACGUAGGGGGCGAGCGUUGUCCGGAAUGACUGGGCGUAAAGGGUACGUAGGCGGCCAGAUAAGUCAGAUGUGAAAGGCAUGGGCUUAACCCGUGUUAGCAUUUGAAACUGUGUGGCUUGAGUUAAGGAGAGGAAAGUGGAAUUCCUGGUGUAGCGGUGAAAUGCGUAGAUAUCAGGAGGAGUACCAGUGGCGAAGGCGACUUUCUGGACUUAAACUGACGCUGAGGUACGAAAGCGUGGGGAGCAAACAGGAUUAGAUACCCUGGUAGUCCACGCCGUAAACGAUGAGUGCUAGGUGUCGGGGGUCGAACCUCGGUGCCGGAGCUAACGCAUUAAGCACCCCGCCUGGGGAGUACGUUCGCAAGAAUGAA